This 465-nucleotide ribosomal RNA is filed under the name Vreelandella stevensii. Its description in RNAcentral is "partial 16S ribosomal RNA". It matches the Rfam family "Bacterial small subunit ribosomal RNA", at positions 338 to 795 of the family's 1533-position model. The record is from RNAcentral. Lineage: Bacteria; Pseudomonadati; Pseudomonadota; Gammaproteobacteria; Oceanospirillales; Halomonadaceae.
CCUACGGGUGGCAGCAGUGGGGAAUAUUGGACAAUGGGCGAAAGCCUGAUCCAGCCAUGCCGCGUGUGUGAAGAAGGCCUUCGGGUUGUAAAGCACUUUCAGUGGGGAAGAAAGCCUUGGGGCUAAUACCCUCGAGGAAGGACAUCACCCACAGAAGAAGCACCGGCUAACUCCGUGCCAGCAGCCGCGGUAAUACGGAGGGUGCGAGCGUUAAUCGGAAUUACUGGGCGUAAAGCGCGCGUAGGCGGUCUGAUAAGCCGGUUGUGAAAGCCCCGGGCUCAACCUGGGAACGGCCUCCGGAACUGUCAGGCUAGAGUGCAGGAGAGGAAGGUAGAAUUCCCGGUGUAGCGGUGAAAUGCGUAGAGAUCGGGAGGAAUACCAGUGGCGAAGGCGGCCUUCUGGACUGACACUGACGCUGAGGUGCGAAAGCGUGGGUAGCAAACAGGAUUAGAUACCCUUGUAGUC